Molecule: long non-coding RNA, 336 nt
Organism: Hordeum vulgare subsp. vulgare (domesticated barley)
Lineage: Eukaryota; Viridiplantae; Streptophyta; Magnoliopsida; Poales; Poaceae
Exons: 3
Source: RefSeq, a predicted model, not a curated record
AUGGCACACCCUUCCAAUGCAGGUCGCUUCCAUGACUAGACUUCAAAUAGGGGAGCUUAGUUUGCUUCUCAUCAUCAACUAUGGCCAUCUUUGCGAAUCGUGAAGGAUGUACAACCCGACAAAUUAAUCCUGGACAACGGAGAGGAGGUUCCUUAUGGUUUGCUUGUAUGGUCUACUGGAGUUGGUGCUUCAUCAUUCGUCAAGUCAUUGCCAUUUCCUAAGUCAGCUGGAGGAAGGAUCGGUGUAGAUGAGUGGUUACGUGUUCCUUCAGUGCCAGAUGUAUUCGUUGUUGGUGAUUGCUGUGGAUUCCUUGAAAGCACUCGCAAGGAAGUUCUC